RNAcentral lists this ribosomal RNA (440 nucleotides) under uncultured bacterium. RNAcentral describes it as "partial 16S ribosomal RNA". It matches the Rfam family "Bacterial small subunit ribosomal RNA", at positions 338 to 795 of the family's 1533-position model. The record is from RNAcentral.
CCUACGGGAGGCAGCAGUGGGGAAUAUUGCACAAUGGGGGAAACCCUGAUGCAGCGACGCCGCGUGAGUGAAGAAGUAUUUCGGUACGUAAAGCUCUAUCAGCAGGGAAGAAAAUGACGGUACCUGACUAAGAAGCCCCGGCUAACUACGUGCCAGCAGCCGCGGUAAUACGUAGGGGGCAAGCGUUAUCCGGAUUUACUGGGUGUAAAGGGAGCGUAGACGGCAGCGCAAGUCUGGAGUGAAAUCCCAUGGCUUAACAAUGGAACUGCUUUGGAAACUGUGCAGCUAGAGUGCAGGAGAGGUAAGCGGAAUUCCUAGUGUAGCGGUGAAAUGCGUAGAUAUUAGGAGGAACACCAGUGGCGAAGGCGGCUUACUGGACUGUAACUGACGUUGAGGCUCGAAAGCGUGGGGAGCAAACAGGAUUAGAUACCCCUGUAGUC